UACGUAGGGGGCAAGCGUUGUCCGGAUUUAUUGGGCGUAAAGAGCGUGUAGGCGGUUUGGUAGGUCCGCUGUGAAAACUCGAGGCUCAACCUCGAGACGCCGGUGGAAACCAUCAGACUAGAGUCCGGAAGAGGAGAGUGGAAUUCCUGGUGUAGCGGUGAAAUGCGUAGAUAUGCGGAGGAACACCAAUGGCGAAGGCAAUCCCCUGGGCCUGUACUGACGCUCAUGCACGAAAGCGUGGGGAGCAAACAGG
This 253-nucleotide ribosomal RNA is filed under the name uncultured bacterium. RNAcentral describes it as "partial 16S ribosomal RNA". It matches the Rfam family "Bacterial small subunit ribosomal RNA", at positions 524 to 776 of the family's 1533-position model. The record is from RNAcentral.